CUGGUAAGUCAUGUUCGAUAAAUAUUUAACUAGCUAAUAUAUUUGAAGAUUAAGAUUAUUUUAAUCCUACUAAACCCCCCCCCCCCCCCCCCCCCCCCCCCCCAUUAACCAAAGAAUGAAAACACUGAUCAAGAAACAUUUUGAGUAAAUAAAAACUUAUUGUCGUACUGAUUCCCACACAGUGGAAUACCAUAGCCUUUGAAAAGAAUUAUUUAUUCAGUUCUGAUUUAUUAUAUGCAUGGAGUCAACUAUAAAUUUCAACUACUACAUACAUAAAAAGCAAAGGAAAUUGUGAGUUAUCUCCCUUUAAAGAUAUAGGAAUAUGUAUUAUCUCGCUUUGACAAUUAAAAAAUCUAGCAAAAUGCAGUCACAGAUAAAAAUGAGUAGUCUCUCCCCAUUCAGUAUAAUCCGAAUAAUGUCAGUCGUUAUAUUCCGCUGAUCUCCUUCUAAUCUCUGAUUUCUACAUUAAAUAGGCUAUAGGCCGCUAGAGGGGGCAGAAUUAUUUGAGUUACAUUAAGUACUAUAUGAAAAUAUUGUCUCCCUUUUUAAAACAAUUAAAAAGACAUGCAAGCUAAUCAAAAAUAAAUUAAUGAGUAGUCCCCCUUUAUAAUUAGAGUUACUCUCCCUUUAUAAGUACUGUAAAAACAAAUUGUCCCCCUUUAACAAAGAAAAAAGGCUCACAAACUGCCGUCACAAACAAAAUUCAUUGUCAUGAUGAUUUUGC
RNAcentral lists this long non-coding RNA (724 nucleotides) under Mytilus galloprovincialis (Mediterranean mussel). The record is from RNAcentral. Lineage: Eukaryota; Metazoa; Mollusca; Bivalvia; Mytilida; Mytilidae.